RNAcentral lists this ribosomal RNA (505 nucleotides) under uncultured bacterium. RNAcentral's name for it is "partial 16S ribosomal RNA". It matches the Rfam family "Bacterial small subunit ribosomal RNA", at positions 28 to 507 of the family's 1533-position model. The record is from RNAcentral.
GACGAACGCUGGCGGCGUGCCUAAUACAUGCAAGUAGAACGCACAGUUUAUACCGUAGCUUGCUGCACCAUAAACUGUGAGUUGCGAACGGGUGAGUAACGCGUAGGUAACCUGCCUGGUAGCGGGGGAUAACUAUUGGAAACGAUAGCUAAUACCGCAUAAUAUUGAUUAUUGCAUGAUAAUUGAUUGAAAGAUGCUAUUGCAUCACUACCAGAUGGACCUGCGUUGUAUUAGCUAGUAGGUGAGGUAACGGCUCACCUAGGCGACGAUACAUAGCCGACCUGAGAGGGUGAUCGGCCACACUGGGACUGAGACACGGCCCAGACUCCUACGGGAGGCAGCAGUAGGGAAUCUUCGGCAAUGGACGAAAGUCUGACCGAGCAACGCCGCGUGAGUGAAGAAGGUUUUCGGAUCGUAAAGCUCUGUUGUAAGAGAAGAACGGGUGUGAGAGUGGAAAGUUCACACUGUGACGGUAUCUUACCAGAAAGGGACGGCUAACUACGUG